UCUAACACAAUACAAAUCAAUGAAGUGUCAGUCUGUGUCUGUGUUUGCCUAAGGAAAUUAUCAUCUUAGCCAGUGUAAAAGCAACCUGUACCUUUCACGUUUGUAAUUACACACUUGGGAGAUGGGUAAGGAUACUAGUACAGCCUGAAUAGAAAAGACUACUACUUAUCUAGAUAUCAGCUGCUGAUAGACACAGUUAUGGGAAUAAUUCAGUGACUACAUCGAUCUUUACAAGUGCGACCAUUCCAUUCCAACACUCAGGUUUUACAAAACAGACUACUACUUGGGAGAUGGGUAAGGAUACUAGUACAGCCUGAAUAGAAAAGACUACUACUUAUCUAGAUAUCAGCUGCUGAUAGACACAGUUAUGGGAAUAAUUCAGUGACUACAUCGAUCUUUACAAGUGCGACCAUUCCAUUCCAACACUCAGGUUUUACAAAACAGACUACUACUUGGGAGAUGGGUAAGGAUACUAGUACAGCCUGAAUAGAAAAGACUACUACUUAUCUAGAUAUCAGCUGCUGAUAGACACAGUUAUGGGAAUAAUUCAGUGACUACAUCGAUCUUUACAAGUGCGACCAUUCCAUUCCAACACUCAGGUUUUACAAAAAAAAAAGGUGAGCAGAGUUCAAAGCCACACCCUUUUUUAAAAUACACCUGCUAAGAGUAUUCUUCUUCUUCUUCCCCAAGUUAGGUGAAGCAGCAUAAUCCCAGUUUGUUUUCAAGUUAGCUAGCCUAUAUACAGAUGUUGCAGGAACACGUCCCGAAAACAGCGGUGGUAGAUGCAGAUCAAGCUUCUUCGAUAUAUAUGUACUCCAUUUUUUAUAUUUACAGUGGAGAGUCAUCAG
RNAcentral lists this long non-coding RNA (848 nucleotides) under Linum usitatissimum (flax). RNAcentral's name for it is "long non-coding RNA (LUSI_LNC005072)". The record is from RNAcentral. Lineage: Eukaryota; Viridiplantae; Streptophyta; Magnoliopsida; Malpighiales; Linaceae.